CUGAGUUGCAAAACUCCCACCAUUGUGAACCUACCUAGACUGUUGCUUCGGCGGGGGGCACUGCCCUGCUUUCCUCUGGGAAGCACCCGCCGGAGGCAUUUAAACUCUGUAUUAUUGGCUUCUCUGAGUAACUUAUUUAAAUAAGUCA
Molecule: unclassified non-coding RNA, 148 nt
Filed under: uncultured Ascomycota
Lineage: Eukaryota; Fungi; Ascomycota
Also listed under: 1 other name
Description: sequence contains ITS1
Source: RNAcentral